GUCGUGUGGCAGCAGGGACAGUCCCCAGUCCCUCCGGCAGGGAUGCCUCUCCUCCAGCAGGCCCAGGAAUGUGGCCGUGGCGGCUGUGGCAAUCCCCUGAAAAGACGGAUUGGUUUCCCUGGGAAUUACUCUCUCUUCUUAAGCCAAAAAAUUUGAGGGUCCGUCCAUAAAACAGGCUGUGCUUUGUCCCUCGCACCCGCAAUUGGAGAGCAGUUCAGGGCUCUGCUUUCACCUGCCCUCGCUCUGCUUCACCUGGCUUGGCUGCACAGUGGCUUUGGGUUGCAGCCGGUGAUGGCAGGAAAAAACCCGAACCCAAACCCAAAGAAACUCGUACACAUUUCCUGCCCGCUAUGAAGACAUGUCAGGCUCCCCCAAACCUCUCCCCAGCCACAAGUCACGCUAAACGUGCUCCUGGGCACAGCGAGGUAUGUAUAUUUUUCUAUUUGUCAUCUUCACGCAUGGUUGUAGGCUUGGUGAUUUUUUUUUUU
This is a long non-coding RNA of Lonchura striata (white-rumped munia), 488 nucleotides long. The record is from Ensembl. Lineage: Eukaryota; Metazoa; Chordata; Aves; Passeriformes; Estrildidae.